RNAcentral lists this long non-coding RNA (1175 nucleotides) under Helianthus annuus (common sunflower). RNAcentral describes it as "hypothetical non coding rna". Lineage: Eukaryota; Viridiplantae; Streptophyta; Magnoliopsida; Asterales; Asteraceae. The record is from RNAcentral.
AUGGAUGAUGCUAGCUGACCUUACAGCCAAGUGAGCAAAACCGAAGGGCAUCCAAGAGGCUCCUUCCACAUAUUUCACAAAUGUGAGAAACCGCUUUUCCAGAUUUAGGCUGAGGCCUUUCGUUUAGAAACAAUACUCUUGCACUGUUUAUGACGUAAGUUUGCACCCCGCCGAUGUUCAACGCUUUUUCGAUCUCUGAAACUCUCACCACAUCGUGAUACGACGAUCUCCGAAUCUGCACUUUCAUCCGUUAAGUUUUCAUUAUCAAAUCCUCCUUCCUUCCUUGGUCAUUAUACCAUUAAUAUGUCCGUCCGUCCGUCCGUCCGUCCGUCCGGGUUAUUCUUGAUUUUUGUUAAUAAAUAAAUACAUUGCAGUUUUUUUCUAUAUAAAAAAAAAUGUAUGUUACAAGUACCUGAAUGACUUGAUGAUCCUUAUGGCGUGAAGAUCGACAAUAGAAGCAGAAGGCAUCGCAAUUGCAAUCCAAGCAAUACAUAUUGCACUCACUUCUGGCGGCGGCUCCGUGUGUCCGGCACACGGAGAAGAAUGCCGUUCCAAGAAGCUUCUCUAGCCAUGGCGGCACCUGUUGCUGCUGCAUUGCAUUGCAUUCACCAAUAACACACACACAAAAUAAACAAAAACACGUACAAAAUCUAUAUAUAGCACUGAAGAAUUUACCAUUGCAAAUAAUGUGCAGCCUUGGGAAUUGAAUUGAACUCCAGCAGAGAGAUUCUUGAGAGAGAGAAAGCUUGUACAGAGAGAAAGGAAGGUAGAGAGAGAGAGAAUUCAUCAACAUAAUAACGCCUGACCUGAGCUUAGGGACAAAAGCUAGCAUUGUUAAAAAGGAACAAAUAUUAUUCUGGUCCUAAUACUACACUUAAAACCACGUUCGGUCCCUCUAAUAUCAUUUUCAACCUUUUGCCCCUACAACUGCCUGCAUAUUUCUUUAAAAUUCUUUAUAAUUUGCAAACACUUUGUUAACCAUUCGUUCGGCUGAAAGUUCAAUAAAUGAACGGACAUGAACAACAAAUUCGUUCGUUUAGUUAGAAAACAAACAUGAACAGAUGAUGCGUUCGUUCAUUAUGUUUGUGAACGUUCGGUAAUAUGUUUAUGUUUGUUUGUAUUCAUUAAUUCAUUAGUGUUUUUAGUUUUUAUAUUGUAUUUUAAUACUUCAAAUU